AUUUUAGCUGCGAUCAGAGGAAAAAUAAAACUAUCGGGGAUGGAAGCUGAACAUCAGCAACAUCUUGUGGAGAAGUGCAUUCUUAAAAAUGUGCAUAAAAUUGCACGAAGUAUUUGUGGCUGCAUGAAAGGAAAACUUGUUGUAUAUUUUUGUACAGAUGCCCUUGACAGUCUGCACGCUGAUUGCAUCGAUUUCAUUGAAUUCGUGGUCGAGGUCUUUUUGGAGUGGAAAGACAUGAUAAGAUUUCAAAGUGAACUAAAAGCAAGGAUGUUUAUUGUGGAUAACAUCAAGGAAUUUUCUGCCAAAGUGCUCUCUGCACUCCAAAUGAUAGCUCAAACGACUGGAGAAAUCCUGUCACUUUUUCCAGAUUAAUCACCUGGAAUUUCAAAAAAAAAUUAAUGGAAAGAUCUUAUAAGGAAAUGGACAGACACUAGCUGGAUUGAAUCCAUGAAUCCAUAGUUUUUGCUUGCUGGUUUUCACCAGACAGUGUUUUGGGAUCACCUUAUGAAAUUAGUCUGAUAAACAAAUAGAGGAUAUUACAUGGGUGCAUGAUGAUACAGAUUUUAUCUUUGAGUGUUGAAAAGAUCUCUCAUGAGUGGGCAAAUUGAACAAGUGAGAGAUAUUCAACAAGAGAAGAUAUAAUCUGUAUCUCCAAGCAACCAUGUAAUAUUCUGUUUAUCAUAUAAUUAUCAAUAAACUUUUAUUUACCUCCAAUAUAUAGAGAUAGCAACUUUGCGUAAUGGAGAAACAUAGACUAUUUUAUAGAUAAUUAUAUGAUAUAAAAGAUAUCUAAUGUACUGGCAUACUUUCAUA
Molecule: long non-coding RNA, 813 nt
Organism: Exaiptasia diaphana
Lineage: Eukaryota; Metazoa; Cnidaria; Anthozoa; Actiniaria; Aiptasiidae
Exons: 4
Source: RefSeq, a predicted model, not a curated record